CAGUAGCCGCGGGAAUACGUAGGGUGCGAGCGUUAAUCGGAAUUACUGGGCGUAAAGCGUGCGCAGGCGGUUAUAUAAGACAGAUGUGAAAUCCCCGAGCUCAACCAGGGACCUGCAUUUGUGACUGUAUAGCUAGAGUACGGUAGAGGGGGAUGGAAUUCCGCGUGUAGCAGUGAAAUGCGUAGAUAUGCGGAGGAACACCGAUGGCGAAGGCAAUCCCCUGGACCUGUACUGACGCUCAUGCACGAAAGCGUGGGGAGCAAACAGGAUUAGAUACCCCAGUAGUCCCUGUCUCUUAUAC
RNAcentral lists this ribosomal RNA (301 nucleotides) under uncultured bacterium. RNAcentral's name for it is "partial 16S ribosomal RNA". It matches the Rfam family "Bacterial small subunit ribosomal RNA", at positions 509 to 807 of the family's 1533-position model. The record is from RNAcentral.